AGAGUUUGAUCCUGGCUCAGGAUGAACGCUAGCUACAGGCUUAACACAUGCAAGUCGAGGGGAAACGACAUCGAAAGCUUGCUUUUGAUGGGCGUCGACCGGCGCACGGGUGAGUAACGCGUAUCCAACCUGCCCACCACUUGGGAAUAACCUUGCGAAAGUAAGACUAAUACCCAAUGACGUCUCUAGAAGACAUCUGAAGGAGAUUAAAGAUUUAUCGGUGAUGGAUGGGGAUGCGUCUGAUUAGCUUGUUGGCGGGGUAACGGCCCACCAAGGCGACGAUCAGUAGGGGUUCUGAGAGGAAGGUCCCCCACAUUGGAACUGAGACACGGUCCAAACUCCUACGGGAGGCAGCAGUGAGGAAUAUUGGUCAAUGGACGAGAGUCUGAACCAGCCAAGUAGCGUGCAGGAUGACGGCCCUAUGGGUUGUAAACUGCUUUUAUAAGGGAAUAAAGUGAGUCUCGUGAGACUUUUUGCAUGUACCUUAUGAAUAAGGACCGGCUAAUUCCGUGCCAGCAGCCGCGGUAAUACGGAAGGUCCGGGCGUUAUCCGGAUUUAUUGGGUUUAAAGGGAGCGUAGGCCGGAGAUUAAGCGUGUUGUGAAAUGUAGACGCUCAACGUCUGCACUGCAGCGCGAACUGGUUUCCUUGAGUACGCACAAAGUGGGCGGAAUUCGUGGUGUAGCGGUGAAAUGCUUAGAUAUCACGAAGAACUCCGAUUGCGAAGGCAGCUCACUGGAGCGCAACUGACGCUGAAGCUCGAAAGUGCGGGUAUCGAACAGGAUUAGAUACCCUGGUAGUCCGCACGGUAAACGAUGGAUGCCCGCUGUUGGUCUGAAUAGGUCAGCGGCCAAGCGAAAGCAUUAAGCAUCCCACCUGGGGAGUACGCCGGCAACGGUGAAACUCAAAGGAAUUGACGG
This 918-nucleotide ribosomal RNA is filed under the name uncultured bacterium. RNAcentral's name for it is "bacterial SSU rRNA". It matches the Rfam family "Bacterial small subunit ribosomal RNA", at positions 8 to 916 of the family's 1533-position model. The record is from RNAcentral.